ACCCGUGUCACAUGACUUCAAACUUGACACCUCAUUGGCUGACAGUCUUCUUUUAACAGAAAUGUCGAAGAAGAACAUUUUUUUCGUGAGCAGGAAGAGGAGCCACAGUCCCCCCACAUUAAAGAGGAAGUUGAGACGCCACAGACCCAUAAUGUUAAACUGACCCUUCACAUUAAAGGGCAAACGGAGGACCCACUGAACUUACACAUCAAAAAUGAAGAGGAGGACCUACUGACCCCUCACUUUAAGGAGCAAAAGAACCUGCUGACCGCUCACAUUAAAAAGGAAGAGGAGGACCCACUGACCCCCUGCUUUAAAAAGGAAGAAGAGUUCCAAGAGCCGCCGCACAUUAAAGAGGAAGAGGAGGAAGAGGGCAUCAGUCAGCCUAAAUGGUUGGAGGAGUUCCCAGUGACUGGUGUCCCUGUGAAGAGUGAAGAUGAUGAGGUGAAAGGUGAAAGUGAGGAGAGGGGAGGGGGGGAGCCUCCAAGCAGCAGCUCAACACAACACAUGACAACAGAAGCUGAUGGAGACCACUGUGGAGGAUCACAAGCAGACAAGCUCUUAGCUCCACUAUCAGAUAGUGAGGACACAACGUCACACUCUCCUGACACUGAUGAUGAAGACUCUAAAGAUGAUAAGACAUGUCACACUGACAACACUCACUUCACAUCUUCUCACUCUCACAAAACUUUUAAAUACCGUCAUAGUCUGAAAAGACACAUGAGAACACAGACUGGAGAAAAACCCUUUUCAUGCUCAAUCUGUGGUAAAGGUUUUGUAGAAAGUCGCGAUUUGAAAAGACACAUUAGAACACACACUGGUGAAAAACCUUUUUCCUGUUCAACCUGUGGUAAACGUUUUCUUGUAAAUCAUCAUUUGAAAAGACACAUGAGAACACACACUGGUGAAAAGCCUUUUUCCUGUUCAAUCUGUGGUAAAGGUUUUACAACAUGUACAUAUGUGAAAGUACACAAGAGAACACACACUGGUGAAAAAUCACAUUCCUGUUCAAUCUGCAACAGAAGCUUUUGUGACCGAUCAACCCUUGUAAGACACAUGAGAAGACACCCAGGAGAGAAAGUGUUGAGUUGCAGUGUGUGUGGUGAAAGAUUGUCUUCUAAGUACCAGUGUAAGAAACACAAGUGUGCUGGUGAGAACAGCAGCAGCAAAUGAAACUGCAGGAUUUGAAAUAAACUGUCCAGACUUUCAUUUUGACUUUCUAACAACUUCAGCACAUAUAACAUGUGUGACAUUGUUGUUUGUCUAACAAUCUGUUUAAUAUGAUCUUUACAUUUAUAGAUUAGAUAUUUUAUAUUUGUGCUUUUUUCAGUCAAGCACAUGCAUUAAUAUGCAACAUUGUGUACUUUUAUUAAAAAAUGGACAGAACAAUUUAAGUAAAAAGGUGGGAGUAAAUAGUACGGGAAAUAUUUUACAUGCAAUAAACAUUUUAUAUGUGUGUGUGUAUAUAUAUAUUGUGUAUAUUCCAGAUAUAAUUUUAGACUUAUUCAUAUGAAAUAUUGAAGUAUUACAUAUUUGUAUUUGUAAUUGUUAAUAAUCCCAUAGAUUAUCACCUUUAUAUGAUAUACAUAUGUACUGGUUCACAUCUGAAACAUCUUCUGGACCACUUCAGGAAGCAUAUUAUUAUUUACUUUAUACAUCAUUUCAACAAUACAAUUUUAAAAUGUGUGACUUUUUGAAUCAUCUGUUGGGUCUCUUUAAUCUAUUUUAUUCAUUAUAUUUUUUACUCUGUAUUAUGAUGAUUGUGUUGUGAUUGUUAUAUAUGUAUGUCCCCAGACCUUUAUGCAAUAUAAAAGUGAGAGAAAAUGACUGAAUUAUUUGUGGAAGGAUGGUUUUGUUUUUACUUACAUUUGUGGAUAUAUUAAAUAAAUCCAGUAUUGUGUUUUGAAUA
This is a long non-coding RNA of Nerophis ophidion (straightnose pipefish), 1909 nucleotides long. RefSeq lists it as uncharacterized. Lineage: Eukaryota; Metazoa; Chordata; Actinopteri; Syngnathiformes; Syngnathidae. The transcript has 2 exons. The record is from RefSeq and is a predicted model, not a curated record.